AGAGUUUGAUCCUGGCUCAGGACGAACGCUGGCGGCGUGCUUAACACAUGCAAGUCGAACGAUGAAGCUGGAGCUUGCUCCGGUGGAUUAGUGGCGAACGGGUGAGUAACACGUGAGAAAUCUGCCCUUGACUCUGGGAUAACUGCGGGAAACUGUAGCUAAUACCGGAUACUUUCCGAGGUGGGCAUCCACUUCGGAAGAAAGAAUUUCGGUCAAGGAUGAUCUCGCGGCCUAUCAGCUAGUUGGUGAGGUAACGGCUCACCAAGGCGACGACGGGUAGCCGGCCUGAGAGGGUGACCGGCCACACUGGGACUGAGACACGGCCCAGACUCCUACGGGAGGCAGCAGUGGGGAAUAUUGCACAAUGGGCGCAAGCCUGAUGCAGCAACGCCGCGUGAGGGAUGACGGCCUUCGGGUUGUAAACCUCUUUUAGCAGGGAAGAAGCGAAAGUGACGGUACCUGCAGAAAAAGCACCGGCUAACUACGUGCCAGCAGCCGCGGUAAUACGUAGGGUGCAAGCGUUGUCCGGAAUUAUUGGGCGUAAAGAGCUCGUAGGCGGUUUGUCACGUCUGCUGUGAAAAUCCAAGGCUCAACCUUGGACUUGCAGUGGGUACGGGCAGGCUAGAGUGCGGUAGGGGAGAUGGGAAUUCCUGGUGUAGCGGUGGAAUGCGCAGAUAUCAGGAGGAACACCAAUGGCGAAGGCACAUCUCUGGGCCGUAACUGACGCUGAGGAGCGAAAGCGUGGGGAGCGAACAGGAUUAGAUACCCUGGUAGUCCACGCCGUAAACGGUGGGUGCUAGCUGUGGGCCACAUUCCACGUGGUCCGUGACGAAGUUAACACAUUAAGCACCCCGCCUGGGGAGUACGGCCGCAAGGCUAAAACUCAAAGGAAUUGACGG
Molecule: ribosomal RNA, 899 nt
Filed under: uncultured marine bacterium
Lineage: Bacteria
Description: bacterial SSU rRNA
Rfam family: Bacterial small subunit ribosomal RNA
Source: RNAcentral